Long non-coding RNA from Anguilla rostrata (American eel), 1340 nucleotides. RefSeq lists it as uncharacterized. The record is from RefSeq and is a predicted model, not a curated record. NCBI's taxonomy places the organism in Eukaryota, Metazoa, Chordata, Actinopteri, Anguilliformes, Anguillidae. The transcript is spliced from 3 exons.
AGGGUAAAACGGGUCAAUUUGACACAAACCAAACACAAGGGUUGAGUGUUAGGUACAGAGCCUGAAAACAGGGACAAACAAAUGAUAUUCUGCAUAGGACUACCCAGAGGUGGGAGGAGCUGAAACUAGCUUGGUGGCAAUGCACCUAAUGUACCGGGCCUAAAUAGCGCUAUGACUGCUGAAAAGAAAACAGAAGUGAUGGAGGAAGCGAUAUGCCCUUCUCAUCAAGACUACAAUAUCUUUUAAUCAGUACAGAGGCUGGAUAAGGUCAGCCUGCUGUUACUGCUCAUUUUUAUUACAAGAUGGCAAGAUGUCAUGAGGUCACACAUUCAUGUUAACUCCAAGAAUAUAUGUUGAAUUUCUUUAAAUCGGACAAUAUCAUACUUUUAUUUGGUGUUUUGAAAUCACUUUUAUUCUCAAUGAUAGGCCACGGUCUGAAAGAACCUGUUUCACAGCAACUUGCCAAGAGUGACAUAUCUUAUUCAACCUUUGUGAUCUCUAUCUCAGUGAUUUAUAAUAUUAUUCCUUUGAUGUUCAAUUUUUUUUUCUGCAAGGUCAGGCUUACUGCACAAGCAAAUAGAGUACAUGGCUGGGGUACAGCCCAAACUCACAGUGAAUGAACAUUUGAGUUUAAUCAUUUGGAAAGAGCAAAAUCCUUUCAAUCUACUGUUUAUGGAAAUGUACAUUAAAAUAGAAUUUAUUUAUUUACCUAUCUAUCAAAUAACUCAGUACAGGAGAGAGAUAAAUGAAAUGACCGUGGGCUUAAGAUUCUGAUUCUUCUGAUUCUCAGCUGCAAUACAUGUGGUCAUUAAUAGCUUUAAAAAUUUCCAUCAAGCAUGAGGCUACAAGUGACUAUUUUUAUGGGUUGUACUCUCAUGCUGUUGAACCAUUGUUCCACACCCACUAAAUAAUUUUAGUUACCUACUCUAGAGCCCUACGACUUGUACUGCAUUGCAAUCUCUCACCUUACACCUACCAAGAAAACAUGGGUCUCUUCCUACUCACAAUCUUGGGAAUACUGAGUAUGCUGAAAAUAAAUGCUAAAGGCGAUAUUCAUCCUGCAAAAAUUUUUGGGAAAAAUUUUGCAAUAGUGGGGGACGAAGUAGAAUUUGUUUGUAGCACCUAUGGUUUGGAGAAGGAGAAUGAUAUCCUGAACAUCUACCUCUGUAAGAACGGGCUGGGAACCCAACAGCAGCUACAAAAGGACAACUUAAAAACCAAGUUUUACAUUAACGAUGUGAAAAAAGAAGAUUCAGGCAACUAUAGCUGUGUUUACUCGAAGACAAAGUACAAACCGAGUGAUGUGAGAGGGAAAGGAGAUACCUCUGUCUUUCUCCAAG